This 2883-nucleotide ribosomal RNA is filed under the name human gut metagenome. RNAcentral describes it as "bacterial LSU rRNA". It matches the Rfam family "Bacterial large subunit ribosomal RNA". The record is from RNAcentral.
CGAAGUGAGAAAGGGCGUACGGAGGAUGCCUAGGCUCCCACAGGCGACGAAGGACGUGGCAAGCUGCGAAAAGCCGCGGCGAGGUGCAAGCGACCCUUGACCCGCGGAUGUCCGAAUGGGAAAACCCGGCACGCUGGAGGCGUGCCAUCCGGCCAGUCCGGAAGCCAACGCCGCGAACUGAAACAUCUUAGUAGCGGCAGGAAAAGAAAAUAAGAAUGAUUCCCCCAGUAGCGGCGAGCGACCGGGGAAGAGCCCAAACCCGCCCUGUUACGGCAGUGCGGGGGUUGUAGGACCACGAUAUGGAAGACGUAUGGCGAGCGGAAGCGUCUGGAAAGUCGCGCCGCAGCGGGUGAAAGCCCCUUACGCGAAGCCAUGCAUGUUCCUAGUGGUAUCCUGAGUAGCGCGGGGCACGUGAAACCCUGUGUGAAUCCGGCGGGCCCAUCCGCCAAGGCUAAAUACUCGUGGGAGACCGAUAGUGAACCAGUACCGUGAGGGAAAGGUGAAAAGAACCCUGUGCAAGGGAGUGAAAAAGCCCCUGAACCCGUACGCCUACAAGCGGUCGGAGCAGCUGAAGCUGUGACGGCGUGCCUUUUGCAUAAUGAACCUACGAGUUGCCAUGCCCGGCGAGGUUAAGCGCUGUCAAGCGCGCAGCCGCAGCGAAAGCGAGUCUGAAGAGGGCGCAAUAGUCUGGUGUGGCAGACGCGAAACCAAGUGAUCUACCCUUGUCCAGGAUGAAGUCCGGGUAACACCGGAUGGAGGUCCGCACCAAUAAGCGUUGAAAAGCUUCUGGAUGAGGUGAGGGUAGGAGUGAAAGGCCAAUCAAACUUGGAGAUAGCUCGUACUCCCCGAAAUGCAUUUAGGUGCAGCCUUGCCGUUUGACGCACGGAGGUAGAGCGACUGAUUGGAUGCGAGGGUUUCACCGCCUAUCAAGUCCAGACAAACUCCGAAUGCCGUGCGCCUAUAAGGCAGGAGUGAGGGCAUGGGUGCUAAGGUCCGUGCCCGAGAGGAGAAGAAUCCAGACCACCGGCUAAGGCCCCGAAAUACAGGUUAAGUUAGUCUAACGGGGUGGGGCCCCAGUGACAGCUAGGAUGUUGGCUUGGAAGCAGCCAUUCAUUCAAAGAGUGCGUAACAGCUCACUAGUCGAGGGGCCCCGCAUGGAUAAUAAUCGGGUAUCAAACCUGUUGCCGAAGCCGUGGGACGGGAAACCGUCGGUAGGGGAGCAUUGCAUGCGCGCGGAAUGUACGGGGUGACCCGUGCUGGAGCGCAUGGAAAAGCAAAUGUAGGUAUAAGUAACGAUAAAGGGGGUGGGAUGCCCCCUCGCCGUAAGGCCAAGGUUUCCCGGGCGACGUUAAUCGUCCCGGGGUCAGUCGGGUCCUAAGGGUAAGCGUAUGAGCGAGUCCCGAUGGCAGAAACGGUCAACAUUCCGUUACUGCCCGGCAUGGCGAUGCGGAGACGGAGAAGUGACACUUCCGCGCCCUGACGGAAAAGGGCGUUGAAGGCCGUAGGUGCAGAGGAUGGCAGGAAAGUCCACCGUCCGAGCCGAAAGCCGAUAGUACGCGAGGCCCCCGGGCUGAGCGAAAGCGAAGGUAAUCAAGCUCCCGAGAAAAUCCGCUAAGCAUCCAACAUGGCGGGCACCCGUACCGCAAACGGACACACGUGGCCGGGUAGAGCAUACCAAGGCGCUUGGAAGAUUCACGGUUAAGGAACUAGGCAAAAUGACCCCGUAACUUCGGGAGAAGGGGUCCUCACGUGAGUGAGGCGCAGCGAAACGGUCCAGGCAACUGUUUACCAAAAACACAGGGCUGUGCGAAAUCGAAAGAUGCAGUAUACAGCCUGACACCUGCCCGGUGCCGGAAGGUUAAGAGGAGGGCUCACCGCAAGGGAAGGCCCGAAUUGAAGCCCCGGUAAACGGCGGCCGUAACUAUAACGGUCCUAAGGUAGCGAAAUUCCUUGUCGGGUAAGUUCCGACCUGCACGAAUGGUGUAAUGAUCUGGACGCUGUCUCAACCGUGAGCUCAGUGAAAUUGUAGUAUCGGUGAAGAUGCCGAUUACCCGCGAUGGGACGAAAAGACCCCGUGAACCUUUACUACAGCUUAACAUUGCGACCGGGCAUGCCUUGUGUAGGAUAGGCCGGAGGCAGAGAAUCAGGGGCGCCAGCCCUUGUGGAGCCGCCGUUGAAAUACGGCCCUGGGCCUGUUUGGUCGCUAACGCGUGUGAUACGCGGACACUGUUUGGCGGGUAGUUUGACUGGGGUGGUCGCCUCCAAAAGCGUAACGGAGGCUUCCCAAGGUGCCCUCAGGCCGAUUGGCAACCGGCCGCAGAGUGUAAUGGCAGAAGGGCGCUUGACUGGUAGGCCGACGGGCCGAUCAGGCAGGAAACUGGGGCAUAGUGAUCCGGUGGUCCCGCAUGGAAGGGCCAUCGCUCAAAGGAUAAAAGGUACUCCGGGGAUAACAGGCUGAUCCCUCCCAAGAGCUCAUAUCGACGGAGUGGUUUGGCACCUCGAUGUCGGCUCGUCACAUCCUGGGGCUGGAGAAGGUCCCAAGGGUUGGGCUGUUCGCCCAUUAAAGUGGCACGCGAGCUGGGUUCAGAACGUCGUGAGACAGUUCGGUCUCUAUCUAUCGUGGGCGCAGGAAACUUGCGUGGCUCCGGCACUAGUACGAGAGGACCGUGCUGGACCGACCUCCGGUGUGACGGUUGUGCCGCCAGGCGCAUUGCCGUGUAUCCGCGUCGGGUGUGGAUAAGCGCUGAAAGCAUCUAAGCGCGAAGCCCUCCACAAGAUGAGGUUUCCCUUGAGGGCCGUCAGAGACGAUGACGUAGAUAGGGCGCAGGUGUAAAGGCGGCGACGCCAAAGCCGAGCGCUACUAAUUGCCCGAGACUUCGGACA